This 24-nucleotide non-coding RNA is filed under the name Cricetulus griseus (Chinese hamster). Lineage: Eukaryota; Metazoa; Chordata; Mammalia; Rodentia; Cricetidae. The record is from RNAcentral.
AAGACAGAAGUACAGGAAAGUGAA